GACGAACGCUGGCGGCGUGCUUAACACAUGCAAGUCGAACGGAAAGGCCCUGCUUUUGUGGGGUGCUCGAGUGGCGAACGGGUGAGUAACACGUGAGUAACCUGCCCUUGACUUUGGGAUAACUUCAGGAAACUGGGGCUAAUACCGGAUAGGAGCUCCUGCUGCAUGGUGGGGGUUGGAAAGUUUCGGCGGUUGGGGAUGGACUCGCGGCUUAUCAGCUUGUUGGUGGGGUAGUGGCUUACCAAGGCUUUGACGGGUAGCCGGCCUGAGAGGGUGACCGGCCACAUUGGGACUGAGAUACGGCCGAGACUCCUACGGGAGGCAGCAGUGGGGAAUAUUGCACAAUGGGCGGAAGCCUGAUGCAGCAACGCCGCGUGCGGGAUGACGGCCUUCGGGUUGUAAACCGCUUUCGCCUGUGACGAAGCGGGAGUGACGGUAAUGGGUAAAGAAGCACCGGCUAACUACGUG
This 468-nucleotide ribosomal RNA is filed under the name uncultured bacterium. Its description in RNAcentral is "partial 16S ribosomal RNA". It matches the Rfam family "Bacterial small subunit ribosomal RNA", at positions 28 to 507 of the family's 1533-position model. The record is from RNAcentral.